RNAcentral lists this ribosomal RNA (1433 nucleotides) under metagenome. Its description in RNAcentral is "bacterial LSU rRNA". It matches the Rfam family "Bacterial large subunit ribosomal RNA", at positions 1462 to 2925 of the family's 2925-position model. The record is from RNAcentral.
AACUGUGGGGACGCAGAAGGAGAGCACUACCUGGAAUGGAAUCCAGGGGCAAGCACAGGAGGGGUACGGCUGGAAAAACCGCCGUGCAACCCAAAGGUGUGACGCAUACCGAACUAAAGUAGGGAAAUGUGUGAGCCGGCUGCCGAGAAAAGCCGCUAUUGUUUGUACUGUACCCGUACCGUAAACCGACACAGGUGGAUGAGGAGAGAAUCCUAAGGCCGACGGAAGAAGCAUUGCUAAGGAACUCGGCAAAAUGACCCUGUAACUUCGGGAGAAAGGGUGCCUCGAAAGAGGCCGCAGAGAAUAGGCCCAAGCAACUGUUUAGCAAAAACACAGGUCUAUGCAAAACCGCAAGGUGAAGUAUAUGGGCUGACGCCUCCCCGGUGCUGGAAGGUUAAGGGGAGAUGUCAGGAGACGAAGCAUCGAACUUAAGCCCCAGUAAACGGCGGCCGUAACAAUAACGGUCCUAAGGUAGCGAAAUUCCUUGUCGGGUAAGUUCCGACCCGCACGAAAGGCGUAAUGAUUUGGGCGCUGUCUCGGCAAUGCAUCCGGUGAAAUUGAAGUGCCAGUGAAGAUGCUGGCUACCCGCGCCAGGACGGAAAGACCCCAUGGAGCUUUACUCCAGCUUGAUACUGGGAUUCGGUAUUGUAUGUACAGGAUAGGUGGGAGGCUGAGAAAUGGUGACGCCAGUCGCCAUGGAGCCGCUGUUGGGAUACCACCCUUGCAGUACUGGAUUUCUAACCAGCAGCCGUGAUCCGGCUGGGGGACAAUGUCAGGUGGGGAGUUUGACUGGGGCGGUCGCCUCCGAAAGGGUAUCGGAGGCGCUCAAAGGUUCCCUCAGAAUGGUCGGAAACCAUUCGAAGAGUGCAAAGGCAGAAGGGAGCUUGACUGCGACACCGACGGGUGGGGCAGGUACGAAAGUAGGACUUAGUGAUCCGGUGGUAUUAAGUGGGAAUGCCAUCGCUCAACGGAUAAAAGCUACCCUGGGAUAACAGGCUUAUCACUCCCAAGAGUUCACAUCGACGGAGUGGUUUGGCACCUCGAUGUCGGCUCAUCGCAUCCUGGGGCUGUAGUAGGUCCCAAGGGUUGGGCUGUUCGCCCAUUAAAGCGGUACGCGAGCUGGGUUCAGAACGUCGUGAGACAGUUCGGUCCCUAUCCGGCGUGGGCGUAGGAUAUUUGAGAGGAGCUGACCUUAGUACGAGAGGACCGGGUUGGACUGACCUCUGGUGCACCGGUUGUCAUGCCAAUGGCACAGCCGGGUAGCCAAGUCGGGAAGGGAUAAACGCUGAAGGCAUCUAAGCGUGAAGCCCCCCUCAAGAUGAGAUAUCCCCCGCAUAAGCGGUAAGACCCUUUGAAGACGACGAGGUAGAUAGGGCAGAGGUGGAAGUGCAGUAAUGUAUGGAGCUGACUGCUACUAAUAGGUCGAAGGCUUG